RNAcentral lists this ribosomal RNA (387 nucleotides) under uncultured bacterium. RNAcentral's name for it is "bacterial SSU rRNA". It matches the Rfam family "Bacterial small subunit ribosomal RNA", at positions 28 to 417 of the family's 1533-position model. The record is from RNAcentral.
GACGAACGCUGGCGGCGUGCUUAACACAUGCAAGUCGAGCGGUAAGGCUCCUUCGGGAGUACACGAGCGGCGAACGGGUGAGUAACACGUGAGCAAUCUGCCCUUCACAUGGGAAUAACUUCGGGAAACCGAAGCUAAUACCGAAUACGACCACCGAUGGCAUCUUCUGGUGGUGGAAAGUUCCGGCGGUGAAGGAUGAGCUCGCGGCCUAUCAGCUUGUUGGUGAGGUAAUGGCCCACCAAGGCGACGACGGGUAGCCGGCCUGAGAGGGUGACCGGCCACACUGGGACUGAGACACGGCCCAGACUCCUACGGGAGGCAGCAGUGGGAAUAUUGGACAAUGGGCGAAAGCCUGAUCCAGCAACGCCGCGUGAGGGAUGACGGCCU